RNAcentral lists this small nucleolar RNA (89 nucleotides) under Penicillium steckii. Its description in RNAcentral is "A. fumigatus snoRNA Afu_300". It matches the Rfam family "A. fumigatus snoRNA Afu_300". Lineage: Eukaryota; Fungi; Ascomycota; Eurotiomycetes; Eurotiales; Aspergillaceae. The record is from Rfam by way of RNAcentral.
CAACAUGAUGAACGCUUUUUUAAAUAUACGCUGGAAAUUACCGUCCAAGGUCUUCGGAUCAUUGACGAUAACCAAUGGCUUUACUGAUC